ACGCGUGGAACCUUACCAGGUCUUGACAUCCUCUGACACUCCUAGAGAUAGGACGUUCCCCUUCGGGGGACAGAGUGACAGGUGGUGCAUGGUUGUCGUCAGCUCGUGUCGUGAGAUGUUGGGUUAAGUCCCGCAACGAGCGCAACCCUUGAUCUUAGUUGCCAGCAUUUAGUUGGGCACUCUAAGGUGACUGCCGGUGACAAACCGGAGGAAGGUGGGGAUGACGUCAAAUCAUCAUGCCCCUUAUGACCUGGGCUACACACGUGCUACAAUGGAUGGUACAAAGGGCAGCAAAACCGCGAGGUCGAGCAAAUCCCAUAAAACCAUUCUCAGUUCGGAUUGUAGGCUGCAACUCGCCUACAUGAAGCUGGAAUCGCUAGUAAUCGCGGAUCAGCAUGCCGCGGUGAAUACGUUCCCGGGCCUUGUACUCACCGCCCGU
This 439-nucleotide ribosomal RNA is filed under the name uncultured bacterium. RNAcentral's name for it is "bacterial SSU rRNA". It matches the Rfam family "Bacterial small subunit ribosomal RNA", at positions 959 to 1397 of the family's 1533-position model. The record is from RNAcentral.